GACGAACGCUGGCGGCGUGCCUAAUACAUGCGAGUUGAGCGCUGAAGGUUGGUACUUGUACCAACUGGAUGAGCAGCGAACGGGUGAGUAACGCGUGGGGAAUCUGCCUUUGAGCGGGGGACAACAUUUGGAAACGAAUGCUAAUACCGCAUAAAAACUUUAAACACAAGUUUUAAGUUUGAAAGAUGCAAUUGCAUCACUCAAAGAUGAUCCCGCGUUGUAUUAGCUAGUUGGUGAGGUAAAGGCUCACCAAGGCGAUGAUACAUAGCCGACCUGAGAGGGUGAUCGGCCACAUUGGGACUGAGACACGGCCCAAACUCCUACGGGAGGCAGCAGUAGGGAAUCUUCGGCAAUGGACGAAAGUCUGACCGAGCAACGCCGCGUGAGUGAAGAAGGUUUUCGGAUCGUAAAACUCUGUUGGUAGAGAAGAACGUUGGUGAGAGUGGAAAGCUCAUCAAGUGACGGUAACUACCCAGAAAGGGACGGCUAACCACGUG
This 497-nucleotide ribosomal RNA is filed under the name uncultured bacterium. RNAcentral's name for it is "partial 16S ribosomal RNA". It matches the Rfam family "Bacterial small subunit ribosomal RNA", at positions 28 to 507 of the family's 1533-position model. The record is from RNAcentral.